Molecule: ribosomal RNA, 377 nt
Filed under: uncultured bacterium
Lineage: Bacteria
Description: bacterial SSU rRNA
Rfam family: Bacterial small subunit ribosomal RNA
Source: RNAcentral
UAAUACGUAGGGUGCGAGCGUUGCCCGGAUUUAUUGGGCGUAAAGGGCGCGCAGGCGGCUACGCACGUCCGUUGUGAAAUCGCUCGGCUCAACUGGGCGGGGUCAGCGGAUACGGCGUAGCUGGAGCAAGCUAGGGGGCAAUGGAAUUCCCGGUGUAGUGGUGGAAUGCGUAGAUAUCGGGAGGAACACCAGUGGCGAAGGCGGUUGCCUGGAGCUUUGCUGACGCUGAGGCGCGAAAGCGUGGGGAGCGAUCCGGAUUAGAUACCCGGGUAGUCCACGCCGUAAACGAUGCGGACUAGGUGUCGGGGGUAUCGACCCCCUCGGCGCCGCAGCUAACGCAUUAAGUCCGCCGCCUGGGGACUACGGCCGCAAGGCUA